UUUACCUCUCCGCCACACGCCGUCCUUCCGCCGGCACGUCGAACGCGUUUCACCGUUUCUACUUGCAUGCACCCGCGGUCCACGCGGCUAGGGUCACCAUCCCUUGGACUAUAACAAUGGUCCAGGGGUUGGACCGUGCUGGACGCGACGGAAAUCAUAUACAGUGACCAGUAGUGUCGUGUAAUUAGGGGAUAAUGCCACGCGAAAAAUGCUACCGUUCAGUGAAUUCACUUCCUUCGAGUUUUGCGUAUGUUCGAACGAAUUCUGUUACGUUUCGCGGCUUUGGUGAUUGGAUGGUAAAUUUCAUCGGGGUAUUUUCGUACGCGGAUUUGGGGAUGAAAGAGAAUGUUUAUUCGUUGGUUCCUUACACUGCCGAAUCGCAAUGGGGUACCAACCCUAAAGAAGACUACACCUACUUUUAAAGAGCAGUUUCGAAAGUGUCCUCUCUGGAAAAUAGGGUUGGUAACACUAUUUGGGCCUAUUCAAGCACGUUACCGUCGAAUGUUUACGGUCCUUGGCAGACGAUUAGACGCCGCUUACCUACGCUCGCUGGUGCUUCUUCCGUCUACCUGGGCGAUCCUCGAAUCGACCUGUGCCCCAAAUAUCGCUGCCUUCGAUCGUGUCGCACCUGCUCCGGCAACCUGUGCUCCGUACCCUUGGUUAACUGACUGGUCGGUUCGUUCGCGGGGGAGUUUUCUCGACGCGGUCACCCCCGCUCGAGGGAUUUGUAAUCGAGGCGGUGCUACAUCCUCAGGAUUUGGGUGCUUCUUCGCCAGGUUAUUGCUGCUCACCGAGGUUGCUCAUCCAGGGAACAAUGCUUGGACGGUUCCUUCGAGGGGGUCCAGGGGGUUCCUCACGCGUUACGAGAGGGCGAAUGGUCCUUGGCGAUUACGGGAACGUUGCUUGGGGAUGGAAACUCUUGGACAGAGCUUUAGACCAACGAUUCGAGGGUGUUUAACUCUUACAGCGAGGGGAUGUACAGUUUGAUGGCGUAGAACUGGUAAAGUUUGAUAGCGAUUAGUGGACUGCGGAUUUUUAUGCGUUUAUAGGAGAAUGUGGAAGAAACACAGUCUAGUGUUUAUAUAGGAUAAACUUAGGCGAAUCUAAAUUUUUCAGAAAUGUUUCCACGAAGCUUUCUGCUCAAAAAGCACGAUAGAGGAAAUGCGCCGUAUGUACCGAGAUAUUAAACGAAUUAACAUCUUCUUCUUGCUCUGCUCUUUGAUUACUUCUUCGAAGCAGAAAGUUUACGGGCUUAUUCAUUAAACAUUAAGUUCAUUAUAUUUUAUAUUACGAACAAGUUAGUUGCGGUAGUGAACGAAGUUUAAUGAAUUCUACUGAACGUUUCCGCCUUAUUAAAUUUACUUUUCAAAAUAAAUACAUUAUGUUUCAAAACAGUGGUAUCAAUUAUUCAUACUCUUAGAAUAGCCCACUUUCAACAUUUCAAUACGUUAAUACCGUUACUCUAGUAAUUGUGUAACGACAGAAUAGUCAAAGUUCAGGUAUCCGUUCUCGUAAUAGAUCCAACCGUACCUCUGCCGUGUUAUAGAGCUGUAUAGACACAUGACUCAGAGACCUCAAUAA
Hylaeus volcanicus is the source of this 1581-nucleotide long non-coding RNA. RefSeq lists it as uncharacterized. The record is from RefSeq and is a predicted model, not a curated record. The transcript has 3 exons. NCBI's taxonomy places the organism in Eukaryota, Metazoa, Arthropoda, Insecta, Hymenoptera, Colletidae.